GACGAACGCUGGCGGCGUGCUUAACAUAUGCAAGUCGAACGGAAAGGCCCUGCUUGCAGGGUGCUCGAGUGGCGAACGGGUGAGUAACACGUGGGUGAUCUGCCCCUUACUUUGGGAUAAGCCUGGGAAACUGGGUCUAAUACUGGAUAGGACCAUGCUGUAGGUGGUGUGGUGGAAAGAUUAGUUUCGGUAAGGGAUGAGCUCGCGGCCUAUCAGCUUGUUGGUGGGGUAAUGGCCUACCAAGGCGUCGACGGGUAGCCGGCCUGAGAGGGUGGACGGCCACAUUGGGACUGAGAUACGGCCCAGACUCCUACGGGAGGCAGCAGUGGGGAAUAUUGCACAAUGGGCGCAAGCCUGAUGCAGCGACGCCGCGUGGGGGAUGACGGCCUUCGGGUUGUAAACUCCUUUCAGCCAUGACGAAGCCCUUGUGGUGACGGUAGUGGUAGAAGAAGCACCGGCUAACUACGUG
This 469-nucleotide ribosomal RNA is filed under the name uncultured bacterium. RNAcentral describes it as "partial 16S ribosomal RNA". It matches the Rfam family "Bacterial small subunit ribosomal RNA", at positions 28 to 507 of the family's 1533-position model. The record is from RNAcentral.